Molecule: ribosomal RNA, 364 nt
Filed under: uncultured bacterium
Lineage: Bacteria
Description: bacterial SSU rRNA
Rfam family: Bacterial small subunit ribosomal RNA
Source: RNAcentral
GGCCGCGGGAAUUCGAUUCAGGCCUAACACAUGCAAGUCGAGCGAACCCUUCGGGGUGAGCGGCGGACGGGUGAGUAACGCCCCGCUAACCUGCCCUGUACACACGGAUAACAUACCGAAAGGUAUGCUAAUACGAGAUAAUAUGUAAUGAUCGCAUGGUCGAUACAUCAAAGCUCCGGCGGUACAGGAUGGACCCGCGUCUGAUUAGCUAGUUGGUGAGGUAAUGGCUCACCAAGGCGACGAUCAGUACCCGCCCUGAGAGGGUGAUCGCCCCCAUUGGAACUGAGACACGGUCCAAACUCCUACGGGAGGCAGCAGUGGGGAAUACUGCACAGGGGGCGAAAGCCUGAUGCAGCAACGCCGC